RNAcentral lists this long non-coding RNA (201 nucleotides) under Panax ginseng (ginseng). RNAcentral describes it as "long non-coding RNA (PGIN_LNC008930)". Lineage: Eukaryota; Viridiplantae; Streptophyta; Magnoliopsida; Apiales; Araliaceae. The record is from RNAcentral.
UACUCAGUGAUGUGUCAACUGUCCAUUGGUUGCACGUUGCCCAGUAAUGAGCUGUAACUCCCCACAACUUUUCAGUUAUUUGAAGAGUGGACAUUUAAUUGACGUGGCUUUGACCGUUGACCUUUUGAUUCGUAGAGUGGCAUGAUGAGGCAGCUAUAGACUCUACGAUUUCCUUUGUUGACUCAACGAUCAACUUCUAAG